GUCAAGCCCGCGCCCCUUCCGCCUCGUCUCCUCCCUGCCCCCUCCUCUCCCACGAUGCCACCCUCGAGCCCGCGCCACCUCCACCUCGUCUCCUCCCCGCUCCCUCCUCUCCAACGCCGCCGCCCUCGAUGCGCCGUAAGGGACGACCAAGACAGCGGUUGGGUCGGCCAGAGGUAGAAGGCCAUGGCGAUUCAGCUGUCUGUGUGCGCAAGCAGCGGCGGUUCAUGGAGCGGAGCGAGUCCACACCCCCGUCGUUCUAGCCACACCCUCCGCGCCGCCUCCGCUUCCUCCUCCUCCUCUAUUUUUUUCGAUUUCGUCACCCGUCGGAGGCUGUUGCUGCUCGGGUCCCUGGGGGCGCCUCUGCGUGGCUGACGAGAGGAGGGGAGCAGUAGCCGCAGCAAGCAGGCCAUCGAGGAGGGCAAACGGCAGUGGGCCUCCACCCCGUCUCCUCCCUGCUCCCUCCUCUCCAACACCGCCGCCCUCGAUGCGCCGUAAGGGACGCCGUCGACAUGUCGGGGAUACGCAUCGAGCCCGCGCCGCCUCCACGUCGUCUCCUCCCCGCUCCCUCCUCUCCAACGCCGCCACCCUCGAUGCGCCGUAAGGGACACCGUCGACAUGUCGGGGAUACGCAGCGACAGAGCUCAGCAGGAGCACAGCAGAAAUCCACUCCUAACCCUGCUCGCUCGAUUGACAAGAGCAGGGCAACGGAUUGGAUCGAGGGCGCCCUGGCCUCGCCGCCGCUGCCACCUCAAUUCGCUAGCCGCUGCGUGGAGUAACCCUGGCCGCUGCCUCGAGUCACCUCCGUCGCCGCCGUGAGUCACCUCCAUCGUUGCCGCCAGGAAUCCCGCCCUGGCAAGGAAAAUUCCCAAGGAUUUGAUUGAUGGAGGCAUCACUAUUUGGUGUUGGAUUAUCCAUUUUUGCAGCACCAGCAAUGUUCUUUUUGUUUGGAAUGGCCAGUUCUCAAUUUCUAAAUCAGCUACACUAUACUUCUUAUCAGGUUAAAUUAUCUUGCUUUGUUUCAGUCUAUAUGUAGCAUAAAAAUAGGUGACAUGGUUGGUUUGUAUGUUACACUAAGAACACCACCAUAAGGAAAAGGGCAUUGCACUUCUUUGUUUAUAUUUGGUUUGUUCCUAUUCGGUUUGAUGUAGUACUUAAUUGCUACAACAUUUCAAGUUUCUUGUUGUUUCAUUGUAUUCACUUAUGAUAUAUUUUUCAACUAUACAAGCACUUGGGGGAGUCAGGAAAACUGAACCAAAGACAAACACUUUUACCGGUGAUGUUCGGGCUUUUUUUAACUGAGAUGUGAAAGAUGCAUCUUAUCCCUUGAGAUAUAUUGCCUUAAAUCUCUUGAUUUUUUUCCCUGACAUGCUAAUAUAGAGCCAGAUAUGCAUGAUUCAUCAUACACAUUACUGUCAAUUAUCUAUUGGAAUCUUUUGUCCAUAGAGGUGAUUUUGUUUGGAUCAUUAGUCUAGGUAGUGACAUUUUUUAUUGAUAAGGCACAAGUUUAUUUUCUUUUUCACCCGAGCUACACUAAAGUAAGCAUCACCGUCAAUGAAAAGAAGGCAUACAAAUCAUGAAGUUUUUGCCUUGGCUGUGUGCCUCGUUUAAUUGUCACUUAUUUAUUUCUAGGAAGUUAUUCAAUUCUCAUCGAGCUUUCCUUAUGCUUUAAAGAAGAAAUUUAAAUACGCAAUAUUUUUAAUAUCUGAGGAGGCGAGAGGAGAUGAAAAAGGGCUGUAAGGUCGUAUUUUGGUGCGUCUCUGGCCAAUGAUGGCUGGAUCCAUCUGAUGCUCUUCCAAGCAGAGCAGUUCAGAUUUGCUGACUGAGCAGCGGAGAAACAUGUUUCUACAAAUGUGCCAAAACUGAUGGAUUUAACUACAUGUAUUGAUGUAUUGCAUUAUGCAACUGUAAGUCUGUUCUAAACUCUAAGCCCCAUGUAAAUCUGAUGGAAGAUUGGGCCAUUUAAUUUGAACCAAAAAGGGUGAUAUGCUCUCAGUUGCUUGAAUCUGUCCAGACCUGAAAAUUAGAUGUACUUGAAAGCUUGAUAUAUGAGUAGGAGAUAGUUGAUAAAGGUGUACCUCUUGUAUAACUGAUAUCCCUUUGAUCUUCGUUAAAUUUUGUAGGAUAUGCAUUGUGCUUGAGCAUGAGAAAUCCUUUCCCUCCCUGCAUUAUCUUUAUAUGUUAUAAAAAUGUUACACAUGUUUUGGUCCUCCAAAAGAUUAUUAGCCCAUAAUGUUAAUAACUCUUAUGUAUGAUGAUUGAGUGAAAUAUCCUUUUAUCUCCAGGCAUUUCUUUUAUGUAGUGGAUAUACAAAAUAAACUGUAUGACCUAGACUGUAGGAGCAACUGGUGCUUGUGGGAUUGGUGCUUGCAGUUGUUGUGGCAGCUGUUCUUGAGGGCCGAGCUGAAUGUAUUUGAUAAAGGUCUUUGCUUCAUUUUUUUUCUUUCAACGGGAUAAUGACUUGUCGUUUCAAAACACUUAGUAUGUGACCUAUCCAUCAAAUUAUAAUAUAAUAAUUCAGCAAAAUCCCUUUAUUUGAACGAGCAAGAAUCUGUGGUGUGCUCCUGACCUAUGUUCCCCUUUUCAAAAUGUUAGAAAGGCUAUCUUAACUUAGUCGUUGCAUAGAAAUUGGUUUUGUCUAUUAGGCUCAUUUCAUAUCUGGAUCACUUAUUUGAACGACAAUGAACACUCCACAACUGAACUCACAUAAGAGGGCUGAUAGAUGAUAUCUUGUCUGCUCAGUGAUUACCUAGAAUACUGGACUUCCCACCAACUUACAAAAAUAUUUUUUGCAGGUAUAUUUCAUUAAUCACUCCCCCAGCAGACAUGAGUUCUCGUGGCGGGGUGUUUCAUGCCGUCAUGUUAGGAAUUUAUUAUUGUAUUGCAUAUGAGGUCCUUCUUUAGGUUUCCACUUGUUUCUUACUUAAUUAGCUGUCCAUUCUGGAUUUAACGUGAAUAUUGCCUUUGUAUUGCAUAUUAAAUUCUACUAUUUGUUUUAGCUUCUGUAGUUUUCUAUUCAUAAUCCCUAGACAUUAUCAUGUGUGUGUCGAUACGCUUCGUGGAUGGCGAGGUUUAAUAUCGCUUGCUUGUCGCCUUCUCUACCCUCGACAUGUGGAAGGCCAAUAAAGGCGGGGACGAGUCAUGGAUCUUGCUGGCGAUGGCUACUGGUUGUGGACGAGAUUUAAGCAGGGGAAUCACAAAAGAUGUUCUCUUUCCAAGAUCUUCAUAUCAUAUUUGUCGUGGGAUCUGACUGCUUUACCAUAUUUUCUUGGUGUGGACGAUGUUAUAGAGUGAGCUACCAUCACUUCUCAUUACUGACUGUAAUCAAUAUAUAUGUGUUUAUGCCAUAAAAGAUGGAUAUUUGUCGAAGCCAUUGUCGUGUCAUGUAAUUACUUGCAGAUCAACUAUAUAGUUUUGUUCGGAUUGUAAAGUGGAAA
Molecule: long non-coding RNA, 3434 nt
Organism: Triticum dicoccoides
Lineage: Eukaryota; Viridiplantae; Streptophyta; Magnoliopsida; Poales; Poaceae
Exons: 3
Source: RefSeq, a predicted model, not a curated record